GAUGAACGCUAGCGGCAGGCUUAAUACAUGCAAGUCGUGGGGCAGCAGGUUUGUAGCAAUACAGAUGCUGGCGACCGGCAAACGGGUGCGGAACACGUACAGAACCUUCCUUUGAGCGGGGAAUAGCCCAGAGAAAUUUGGAUUAAUACCCCAUAGUAUAAUGAAGUGGCAUCACUUUAUUAUUAAAGAUUUAUCACUCGAAGAUGGCUGUGCGGCUGAUUAGGUAGUUGGCGGGGUAAAGGCCCACCAAGCCUGCGAUCAGUAACUGGUGUGAGAGCACGACCAGUCACACGGGCACUGAGACACGGGCCCGACUCCUACGGGAGGCAGCAGUAAGGAAUAUUGGUCAAUGGAGGCAACUCUGAACCAGCCAUGCCGCGUGGAGGAUGAAGGUCCUCUGGAUUGUAAACUUCUUUUAUAUGGGACGAAAAAGGCUUUCUAAGUCGUCUGACGGUACCAUAUGAAUAAGCACCGGCUAACUCCGUGCCAGC
This 491-nucleotide ribosomal RNA is filed under the name uncultured bacterium. Its description in RNAcentral is "bacterial SSU rRNA". It matches the Rfam family "Bacterial small subunit ribosomal RNA", at positions 28 to 512 of the family's 1533-position model. The record is from RNAcentral.